UACGUAGGGGGCUAGCGUUGUCCGGAAUCAUUGGGCGUAAAGAGCGUGUAGGCGGCCCGGUAAGUCCGCUGUGAAAGUCGGGGGCUCAACCCUCGAAUGCCGGUGGAUACUGUCGGGCUAGAGUGCGGAAGAGGCGAGUGGAAUUCCUGGUGUAGCGGUGGAAUGCGCAGAUAUCAGGAAGAACACCCGUGGCGAAAGCGGCUCUCUGGAACGGUACUGACGCUGAGACGCGAAAGCGUGGGGAGCGAACAGG
RNAcentral lists this ribosomal RNA (253 nucleotides) under uncultured bacterium. Its description in RNAcentral is "partial 16S ribosomal RNA". It matches the Rfam family "Bacterial small subunit ribosomal RNA", at positions 524 to 776 of the family's 1533-position model. The record is from RNAcentral.